This 442-nucleotide ribosomal RNA is filed under the name uncultured bacterium. RNAcentral's name for it is "bacterial SSU rRNA". It matches the Rfam family "Bacterial small subunit ribosomal RNA", at positions 338 to 795 of the family's 1533-position model. The record is from RNAcentral.
CCUACGGGGGGCAGCAGUGGGGAAUUUUCCGCAAUGGGCGAAAGCCUGACGGAGCAAUACCGCGUGAGGGAUGACAGCCUGUGGGUUGUAAACCUCUUUUCUCAAGGAAGAAGUUCUGACGGUACUUGAGGAAUAAGCAUCGGCUAACUCUGUGCCAGCAGCCGCGGUAAUACAGAGGAUGCAAGCGUUAUCCGGAAUCACUGGGCAUAAAGCGUCUGUAGGUGGUUCGGUAAGUCUGCUGUUAAAGACUAGGGCCUAACCCUAGAAAAGCAGUGGAAACUGCCAAACUUGAGUGUGGUAGAGGUAGAGGGAAUUCCUAGUGUAGCGGUGAAAUGCGUAGAUAUUAGGAAGAACACCAAUGGCGAAGGCACUCUACUGGGCCAUAACUGACACUGAGAGACGACAGCUAGGGGAGCAAAUGGGAUUAGAUACCCCAGUAGUC